ACUGCUCUUUGUUAUAUGUCUGGUCCCUGCGCCGUGCUGCUGCUGUGCUCCUCGCCGUCUCCCGGGAAGAAAACUCCCUGACCUUCCCACGUGCUGGGUACCAGCGAGGAAAGCGCGGAGCUGCCAGCGGGGGCCAGGUGGACCCGAACGCCGAGGGUUGAGGAAGUGCAGUUAGGGCGGGGACCGGUGAAGCCGAAUGCGGGCGCGGGCGCGCCGGGAGCUGUAGGCAGGACUUUCUGCCGCCCGUGUCGGCCUGUCCCCGCGCGGUGCGGAGCGCCGUGGUUCCGCGGGAGGUGAUCUGGAGUGGAGGCCGGCCGCGGGGGUGACCAUAAAUGCGGCAGAACUGGCAAAGUCCGGCGGCUUGCUGAGAAAGUGCUGCCAAGAGAGCUGCUGAGCCUCAAGAUCUCCAGAGACUAAAGAUGGGCACUUCCCUUGUCAGGCUUCGCUCUUCACGGAACGUGUGAUGUGGAGAGCCUGAAACUUGGCAUCUGGCAGCCUUCUGAGCAGCCCAGGGUGCCUGCAAGCUGCUGUCCUCUUGGGUGAGAGGAUCCCAUGUUGAUCUGAGAUACGUUUUGGAGACACUUAUGGCUCCUCAGAUACUUAGAACACUGCUAAAAUGCAUGGAUAAUGUCAUCUUAAGGUGCUCCAACAGGGACUUGUACUGACAGAGGUUCAGAAAUCCAAAACAAUCAAAUGGUUUAAUUUGUUAGAGCAACAGACACAACAGUUUUGUGAUUGACAGUGAUAAAUGCACUGACUGCAAGGUGAACUCAAGGUAGUAAAUCCUGCUGAACAGCCGGCACAGUCAGAGACGCUAAUCUUUGGAACAGCUCUCGUGUAGAACAGAAAUACAGCAAAAGCUCAGCCGCGGUUUGAAGGUGCAAAGCCCACCAAGGAGAGCGUCCCUGGCUCGGGUGGGAGGAAAGGAGCAAGCGCAAACCAUCAGCCAUUUCCAUCUCUGCCUGUUCUUCCAUGGCGCCACACGGGGGCGGUAAUGGUACAGCAAAGGAGCAGCAGGUCAUGUCUUCUGCAAGGUUUCUGACACAGAGCCAAAGCUCGUGGUAUGGUACAGCCUCCUUCUAAAUGAUCCUGCUGGCGUGCUGGGAAGGGUAAGAGGAUGCACUUCCUUAGUAAUCUCUAGUCCAUGGGUUGUGGUGUUGAAUGGAAACAAAAGAAACCAAAGUCAGUAUCAGGAUUUUCAGGAGUGUGUUCAGGUCUUGGAGAUUUUUGCAUCAGGAUUUCCUCUGCAUGAGACUGUAACAAACAAGGUGACUUGUAGAACUCAUCUGCAGUCAGUACAGUUAAGGGCAUACAAAUGCUGUCGGGGAGACUUGCAUGAUAGCUGCCUCCUGGGAUCAUCUCCCAGUGCUCUGUGUGUGUCUAACAGUGCCACCUCUAAGACAUUAAUCUGAUGCUACAGUCAUCACCUGAAAACAGCCAGGUGAACUGCAUGGCAGAGGUGCAUGAUGAAAGGGAAUUUUCAGUGUGUACAGCUAAGGAAACUAAAGUCAGGGUGAGGUAACCUCCAUGCUCUCUAGCUAUCUUUUAAGAAGAGCAGUGGCAUUUAACACCUUCUUCCCUUUUUCACUUAAACAUGUUGGAGUACAUUUUAAAGUUUCUUUGAGAGACUGGGCAAAUGGUCAGGGUUGGCAUUUUGAAGACAACUGGUCACGUAAGCAGACUCUGCCUCAGAUGUAGCUUUUAUUUGUGGAAUCAAGCCUUUAAUUCUUGUUUAUUAAAUGAUCAAAAUAGAAGGAGAAAACCCCAACAAUGCAAGGGAAUGUUAGCAUGUGCUGGGUUAAUGGAUGAAGCUGUGUUCCUGGAAAAGGUUUUUUUGCUGUGUUUUUCGUUUGGUUGGGUUUUUUUUGGUUGGGUUUUGAGUUGUGUUGGGUUUUUUUUACUUCUGGGAUAUAUUAAAUGUAUUUCAACUGAAGAACUGGAAAGGUUGCUUCUUAUUUUUAGCACACUCUUAAAGGGCAAGUAACUGAAUGUUGUUGCUACUGAAAUGGUCUGGUUUAGCUGCAGAAAGGUGUGGCCCAGAGAGGCAUGUGCAUUGUAAGUUGCUUGCUGUUAUCAACUCAAAACCACAGAGUUUGCUGUCUCUCCUCUCUCUGCCCAGUUUCUCCCCGUGCCCCCUUGGCUGGGUUGCACCUGUCAGGGUAGCAACUGCUGGAAGUGGGGUACUGUGAGCAGAGCUCCCUAUCCAGAUGUUUUGAAGAGCUAGUGAGUGCUUGCUCUUGCUGUCAUCUCUCCAGCAAGGUGAACUUCUGUGCUGUAAGCACUGGAUCACAGUGUCAAUAAUGGAUUUUUUCAGUUCCUAUUGAGAUCUUGACAACAAAAUCCCUGGCA
Pogoniulus pusillus (Red-fronted tinkerbird) is the source of this 2349-nucleotide long non-coding RNA. RefSeq lists it as uncharacterized. The transcript has 5 exons. Lineage: Eukaryota; Metazoa; Chordata; Aves; Piciformes; Lybiidae. The record is from RefSeq and is a predicted model, not a curated record.